UACGUAGGCAGCAAGCGUUGUUCGGAGUUACUGGGCGUAAAGAGUGCGUAGGUGGUGCCCUAAGUCUGUUGUGAAAUCUCCCGGCUUAACUGGGAGGGUGCGGUGGAAACUGGGGUGCUUGAGUGUGGGAGAGGUAAGCGGAAUUCCACGUGUAGCGGUGAAAUGCGUAGAGAUGUGGAGGAACACCAGUGGCGAAGGCGACUCUUUGGUCUGUAACUGACGCUGAGGCGCGAAAGCGUGGGGAGCAAACAGG
Molecule: ribosomal RNA, 253 nt
Filed under: uncultured bacterium
Lineage: Bacteria
Description: partial 16S ribosomal RNA
Rfam family: Bacterial small subunit ribosomal RNA
Source: RNAcentral